UGUAUAUUCACUUUAACUACCAACUGAUAAAUUAAAACAAUCUUUACCAUUCAGUAAUAACAAGCACUUUAUUUUACAUUUUAAUAUUUUAUGAUGUAUUUAAAUGAGUAGUUAUUGUUGCAAACUCCAUUAAAAAUUUGAAUUGAGAUCAGUUUUGGAAAAAGGGAAAGGGGGAUGUGAAAAAAAAAUGGGAGGGGGGGGGUUAAAUUUUUCUCAUUUCAGAUUUCAUAAAUAAAAAGAAAAUUUCUUCAAACAUUUUUUUGAGAGGAUUAAUAUUCAACAGCAUAGUGAAUUGCUCAAAGGCAAAAAAAAUAUUUUAAGUUCAUUAGACCACAUUCAUUCUGUGUCCGAAACUUAUGCUGUGUCAACUAUUUAAUCACAAUCCAAAUUUAGAGCUGAAUCCAGCUUGAAUGUUGUGUCCAUACUUGCCUCAACCGUUCAGGGUUCAACCUCUGCGGUCGUAUAAAGCUGCACCCUGCAGAGCAUCUGGUUCUA
This 495-nucleotide long non-coding RNA is filed under the name Mytilus galloprovincialis (Mediterranean mussel). The record is from RNAcentral. Lineage: Eukaryota; Metazoa; Mollusca; Bivalvia; Mytilida; Mytilidae.